ACCCGUCAUGUGUCUUGAGCAGCCACUAUCCAAGUACCAACAGUGUUUGUUGACCUUGGCUGCAAGACACUCCUACACAAGGAAAUCAUAUAGUUUUAGGUACCUAAGUUUUCUUAGGUCCUUCAAGGUUAGUAAUGUUGGUUCCUUUUGAAACCCAAAUCUUUUUAAUCAUUCUUUUAACUUCAAUUUUUUGUGGUUACAUACAUUUGUUAUAUGUCCUACUUUACCACAACAAAAACAAGUUACAUUUUUGGUUUUACUUUUUCCGGCUUUUACAAAAAAGUUUUUAAAAAAUUUUUGCUUAUUGUUAGGCUUAUACCCUAAACCGGCUUUAUUAAAUACAACUCUUUGACUAUUAAGAAUCAUUUCUAGUUUUUCAGAACUAAAGGUAAACUUCUCAACUAUAGGUUUAUAUUUUUCAAGUUCUUUUGUUGAGUUCAGUUUUUCUGUUUUUAGUAAAUUUAGAUCUUUUGUAAAGUUAUCUUUUAGAGCUCGGUUACUGUUUUUAAGUUCUGAAACUUUCUUAGUUAGUCUUUCGUUAUCUUUAAUUAAAGUAUUAGUUUUUUGAGUUAGCAAUUGGUUGCUUGUUUUAAGUUCUAAGUUUUCUUUGAUGAUAGAGUUCUUAUCCUUAAUUAAUUUAUCAUACUUAUGAGUGUGAGAUUAAUUAGUUAGUUUCAAUUCUUUAUUUUUAAGGUUUAUUGUCUUAUAUUCAUCCAUUAGUUCAUUAAAAGCAUCAUACAAUUCAUCAAAGGUAAAAUCUAAAUGUGUUUCAGAUAUUGCCUCAUUUUCGUUCGCCAUAAAAUAAAAAUUUGCUUUUUUCUCUUAUUCCUCAUCCGAUGAUGAUGAUGAUUGAUCGAAGUCUGUCAAAGUGGAGACAAGAGCUUUGUUCUUUUUGUAUUUGCUGCCCUUCUUCAGCAAGGAACAGUCGAUUCUGAAAUAUCCCGACUUCUUGCAUUCAUAGCAUCCGAUUCCCUCACUUUCCCUUUCCUUAUCUUUAUCCUUGUUGUAGGAACUAGAGGAACCUCUCUUCUGAUGAAAGGACUUCUUCCGGUUGAUGAAUCUUCAGAACUUUCGCAUGAGAAGAGCCUCAUCUUCAUCUCCCUCAUUGUCUUCUUCUUCACUGCUGCUACUGCAAGAGGGAUCCUUGUUAGAAGAAGUAGACUUAAGGGCAAUUACAUUUUUCUUGUGGGAGGACUCUUCUUCACUGUGUUGCUUCAUUGUGAGCUCAUGUGUCAUCAAAGAUCCAAGGAGCUCCUCGAGUGGCAGCUUGUUCAAGUCUUUAGCUUCUUGGAUCGCCGUUACCUUGGCUUCCCAUGAUCUUGGUAAAGAUCGAAGAAUUUUUCUGACAAGGUCACUGUUAGUAUAACUUUUGCCAAGGCAUUUUAAGCCGUUGACAAUAUCAGUAAAU
RNAcentral lists this long non-coding RNA (1408 nucleotides) under Phoenix dactylifera (date palm). Its description in RNAcentral is "long non-coding RNA (PDAC_LNC010777)". The record is from RNAcentral. Lineage: Eukaryota; Viridiplantae; Streptophyta; Magnoliopsida; Arecales; Arecaceae.